GUGUCCUGCCACACGUCAAAUUCCAGAUUCCUGUAGACGUCGCCAUCGAGAGCCUUCAUGACUUUGUAGGGCAGCGAGAGUCUGUAGGAGGGCGGGGCUUCUCCAGGAGGCUGCGUUUCGACAGGAAGAGUCAGCGGAUGUGACAUCACACAGCCUGUGGCUGCGUCGUUUUUUUCUCUCCAAAUUUUAUUUAUGAUCGUUGAGAAACAUAUAAAACAGUACAUUUAAAUUCAAUUUUGGACCCAUAACUUAUAUUUCUAUUCUCAACAACAAAAUGUGCGGUAAUGGUUGGUUUCUACUUCUGCCUCCAGCACUUGUUUUUAUCUCCACUGCCGUGUUUCUUUUGUUUGGUUGUAAUAAAAAACGUCUGAAUUCUCUCCAUGCUGUGAAUUUGUACAUUUCCACACUGAUUUACAGCAAUUUCUCCAUUCUUGGUCCGUCAUAGUUGUGUUGCUUUCCUUCUCCCAUUUACUUUGAGGUCAUUUUUUACUCAUAAAUCCCUUGUAAAGUCUAGAUAUCAAACCUUUUUUACAUUUUCCUUUGUAUGCUGUUGAUAUUUCACCAAGCACUGGUUCCUGUGUAUCCAUGGUGUGGAGGAUCUUUGUUAAUGUAGUGGCAUAGUUGUAAAUAUCUGUAAAAAUAAUCUUUCCCUAAGUUAUAUUUACCCUCAAGUGUUGAAAAUCUUUCAUUAUUCCCUUGUCGUGUAAAGAGUAAUGUGUUUAACCCUCGCAUUGUCCAGUGGUGAAAUCUAUUGUCUAACUGGUUGGGCUUGAAAUCGUGGUCGUAUGCGAACCAUCUCACAAUUUUUAAGUCAUUGUUUAGUCCUUUAUUUGGGACCAGAUUUUCAAUUGUCUCACUAUCCACAGGUUUUCAACUUUUCCCCUAUGUCUUUGUUUCCCAUGAGCGCCUGUAGUGGGGAGUUUGAGACUAAAAGUAAUUCAAUGUCUUUCCAUUUGAGAUUUCAUUUGCUACGUAGUGGGUCGGUGGAUGAUAAUUUAAAGUCAGUAUUUGGGUUUUCCCCAUGUCUAACUUAUAUCCUGCAUGGUAUCCAAAUGUGUUUAAACGUUCAAAUAAUCUGGGCAACGAUUCAUUUGGUUCACUUGUGUAAAUUAUCACAUCAUGCGUCUCCGUUUUUACCUUCAUCACCUCCUCGGAGCACGGCUUCUCCUCACCUGCUCCGCCAGCCUCCUCCCUGCAAGAGAAAGGCUGAAGAAGAGUCUGGGGGGAGGAGCUACAAGCGUGUGCCGCUGCAUGCAUGUACCUGUGUCCACGGUCAUCAGGUGGGAGAGGGCCUUGAUCUCCACCUGCCCCACUGUUUCCUAGAGAGAUGCACAGAAUGUGAGACGGCAGGAACAAGGCCUGAGCAGCCCAACAGGUGGGGGCGGAGCUCACCUUUGGGUCCUCUAGGCGCUCCAGGUACUUUUCAAAGGAGCCUUCAACAAACUGCCACAGACGGGGGAGGGGGGGUGAGAGUGUUAGUCAAAGUCAGUUUUAUUGUCAAAUAUGCUGCAUCCAGAAGACAUACAGCACAGAGGAAAUUGCUUUCCUCUCACCCCACAGUGCGAGCAGCACAUAAAAUAAUAAAUAAACGACUUCAAAAUAGAUGAAGACAGUAAUAGUCAGAGGAAUAACAGCAGUCUAAACAGUGACAUGGUUAACAUCAGUGCGUGGGUGAGUCAGUGACGGCAGUCUUUGUGAUGAUGCUGUUCUGAACUGGGGUGAGGUUUUCAAUGUGAGCUAGUAGGAAGGAGUGGAGGGGCCAGAGGGGGGGGGGGCAGGGAGGGAGUUGAGGGUCCUUAUUGCCUGAUGGAGUCUGCUGGUUCUGGCCUGCAGACUUUGCAGCCCCCUCCCUGAAGCUGAGCGGACUCACCGGUUCAAAGCUGCUCCUGUUGGCCCUCAUGAAGUUGGCACAGUCCAGUCGGAUCUUCUGAUGGUAGUUCUGCGAGAAAUACAGCUGCACACGCACGUGCGCACGUACGUGCAUGGGUCACGAGUCAGUAAUCCUUCCCAAUGGUUACUUUUUAAAGUUUAAAGCAACUUAAAAGCUAUUCAAAACAAAAUCUAUGUAAGCUGAUGUCUGCGUCAUUCACAGACAUUUGAACAGAAUCCUGCGAGCCUGCAGGCCGCGAGCCACGCCGCCUCGAGCCACGCCGCCUCGAGCC
Molecule: long non-coding RNA, 2162 nt
Filed under: Oryzias sinensis (Chinese medaka)
Lineage: Eukaryota; Metazoa; Chordata; Actinopteri; Beloniformes; Adrianichthyidae
Description: lncRNA (ENSOSIG00000009874.1)
Source: RNAcentral